This 10274-nucleotide long non-coding RNA is filed under the name Daucus carota (carrot). RNAcentral's name for it is "long non-coding RNA (DCAR_LNC004389)". Lineage: Eukaryota; Viridiplantae; Streptophyta; Magnoliopsida; Apiales; Apiaceae. The record is from RNAcentral.
AAACUAGAAAAAGAUAACAAGGCCUGCAAAAAAACUCUCAAGCAUGUGGCUGAUCAGGAGAAAACUCUGGACUUUAUAAGAUAUCAUCUCCUAUGUAGCCAACAACAAGGUUUGUAGCCAUAGGUCCAAAAGCUUUCUGAAUCGCUUGCAUCUUUUCAGCACGAAGAGUCUCUAAAUCCUUUAAUUUAGAUUUAGUAUCGUCAAUACAUGUCUGAAACUCUUGUAAUUUACUUUUGGCAUCAACAAUAUGACAGUCGAUUGCAUGAAGCUCCGAAAAUAGGGGCUGUGAAAACCGGGCCUGUUCUAUAUAGUUCAGACGACCCACAAGCCAACUCACAUUGAAUCCGAAUUCCUGCAACUCCGCAAAUACUUCCCUGUACUCAGCUAUCGUCUUAGUAUCAACAUCACUUAGAGAUAUUUUGGUAAAGUCAUUCACAGAGGUGCACAACAAAUUCAGCUUCAUUGUACCAAAUUUCUUGUUUUUAGUGGUAAAGUGCUCAAAGGUUUCUGGGUACUUAUCCAUAAUGCGAUCAAGCAGACAUACAAACUCACAGUAAACCUCAUGGCCCCGCCAUAACCUAAAAUCACUAUUAGUCCCAGAAGAACUUACCCGAUCACUGCCUGUCCUUUCAACUGUUGCACCAAUUUGUCGAACCCUCUCACUCUCACCAUCUAAUAAAGAGUUCUGCCCCACAAGCUCUUCCUGCACUCCCAUGUGUGCAGUGUCAACAAACACACUUUUAUGUAUGUAUUGAGAUCUUAUCAACACUUUAGUUGGAGAUCCUGGCUCUUGUGGCACCACAUUUUGAGCUUUCACAGUAGAUGCCUCUUUACAAGAAAUUAUAUUCUGGAAAACAAAUCAGAAAGUUUAGUGAAGCAUUCUGACUGAGACUUAAACAUAUGUACCUGUUUAUCAACAAAAGAAAUGUAACUUUCACAUAAAAUACUAUGCAGAAGAUGAGUAGACCACCUCAACAAAUAACAUGAGUUAUUAUCUUAGUCAACUUCUUCCACAAAGUGAAGCAAGAAUAUUUAGCUAAACAAUUGAGUUACCACCGUGCCAUUACUUUUAUAACAGCAAGACCACCUAGCAAGCUGGCAUCAGUGCAUCGCUUCAAUAGUUGAUGUGCAAAAACAUAAUUAUAACAUACGUAGGUAUAUUAGCCUCUGAACUCAAAGAUUGUUUUACUGGCUCUAACGUAGCCCAAAUGAUUUUUUGUUCCCACCCUCAGUCCCUCACUGUUCAAAACUCCUUUUAUUAAGAUUCCACUGGUUCCAUCUUCUUCUUGACUCUUUUCAAAUCAAUUUAAAUCUCAAGUUGAUUCACAUGUCUGUAUGUACAUGUGCAUUUGUGGGUGUAACUUUGACACAUAUACCCACACAGGUGAAUCCCCAAAGCUCUAAUUUAAUAAUGUAUAGAAAGAAAUUACUAAAGGCUUUCACUCAUCCUAAGAUCUACAGGUUUAUCGGGUAAGUACUUUAUUCAGUUCAGCUAUGAGAAGACCUAUUCAAGAAGUUUGGAAAUUUAUGAAUUUUAGACCUUCAAGAUAUUUCAACAAAUGAAAACUUAAACAGCAAUGUUUUAAAAAAACACAUGGAAGUUGGAACCUUUACAUUUCAUAUAUUAUCUUUAAACCUCAAUUACUCAAACAUUCCAGACUAAAACAUUGCUAAAUACUAGGCAAAAAGAUAUUCAACAGCCACAAUAGUGCCCAAACAAUCAUAGUUCAAAAUUUUUAAGUAUAACAAACAACUCCUACAACGUAAGUCCAAAUUUGAAGUAUACUGCUUCAAAAAAUUAAGGUCUUAUGUAAGCACAUGUUUAAACAUUAAGGUCAACCAUCAUAUUCAAGCUCUUUUCUUUUUGUACGUGCUCGUACAAAAACAAAAGAAAACAAAAUUCAGGAUAACGAACUAGCAGGAAACAAUGGUUAACUCAUACGUUAAUACAUUUUAAAGUGUUUUGCUUACCUGCUUUCAUAGUAUAAACUGUUUAUGCCUAUAAGAAACAAGACAAUGAGUGCAUCAAGUUACCAAGAAGGAUAAUCAAUAAGUUGAAUACCUGGGGCAAUGCUGUGACAAUGGUGGCUGCUGGGGAGCCACCAAGUAAGUAGCUUCUCAGAAUACUGGAUAUACUUGCCUCAUUACAUCCAAGUGGCAGCUUUACAUACUCCAAGUCAUAGAAUGGAGAAGGGAAACUUACAAGAAAGUCAGAAAUCGAGAGAAGUGCCUAAGAUGUGAUAAAAAAAAAAAAAGAGAGUAAUAUAUAAAACAUCAGGUGAAGGAAUUGUAAUCAAAAUCAACUAAAAUAGAAGCAAUAAUAUAGUAGCCUUUGUGUUUCCUUCCCAGAUUAUCAUAUUUUGCACAAAGAAAGAUCACAUAAAAGCUAAUGAGAAGGGGUAAUAAUCACUCUCUGUAAGGACAAGUCUAAAAAUGGUAACAACUGUCUACAAAAUAUAUUAGAAAAGGACAAUAAGUACACUUGUUUUCUUCAACAAACCAUGUAUGCGAGUUCCUAAGAAAGGAAUUUGUCCAUUUUUCGGGGUCAAGUUUUACUUGUGUACUUGGGAUGGAAUAAUGAAGCUCAUCGGUACAACCCGCAGGAGAUAAGAGAUGCUUGGUACAUAAAAUAUUAAUAGAAAUGACUAAUUCAUCACUAAACUGAGAGUGAUCCGUCUGACAAAAAAAAUAAAAUACCGAGAGUGUUACAAGUGUAAUCAAACAUGUUCAAAUAUGAAUCUCUCAUUAUUUUAAGAUAAAAACAGACUUUCUUAGUAACGAAGUACAUAGAUAUAUGUGUCAUCUUUAACAAUACUCCAUAUACUCGGUCCUUGUAACACUUGUAAAGGCGUGAAGGCAAAACAAGGUGCUAGUGCCUGCCUAGGCCAUAAGUCAAACAGAUUGUGCUCAAAUACAAACGGGCAUAUAUGAUGUAGACCUAUUUUGUUUAGUUUCAAUAUGAUUAUUUUAAUUUAAGAUCAUAUCAUUUGACAUAUUCUAUUAACUUUUAUUUUAUAUUUUAAUUGCUGUUAUCAAUAUAAUGAUUUAAUUGUAAUAAUUUAUAUUUAUAGAUUUAACCCACAAAAGACAAACUGCAAUGAGAUAAAGCAAAACAAUAUUAUGUAUUAGGAAAAUAGUUGAUAAGUGUUAGGAAUAUAGUUAAUACAUGUAGUUCAACACUUAAUUCACCAAGUGACUAGUGUACAUCUAGGCGAUGCCAAAUUCACAUAAUUUAGGCCUAGGCAACGACUAUUUCACCUACCCCAUUCAAACCAAUGCAAGUGUCUACCCGUGUUUGAUCACCUUUCUGUCCAGGGGUCACCUUGAUAUUAACUAUGCUCCUUAUGUAAUAUAUUUUUGAAGUACUUUAUCUCCCCAAAAUGCAAAAGACCAAGCCACAAAAAUUCCAAAAAAUAUUUGAUCCUAUUGUGUUCCUUAUAUAAAUUAUUAAUAAUAAAACUUCGAGUAAAUGAAAAUAUUGUUCUGUGUAUUAAGUAUUAACUCCAACAACCGUCUUUAUACUUGUUCCUUUACAAUAACAAUAACAAUAACAAUAACAAUAGUAAUAAUAAUAAUAAUAAUAAUAAUAAUAAUAAUAAUAAUAACAACAACAACAACAACAACAACAACAACAACAACAACAAUAACAAUAAUAAUUAUAAUAGUUAAUUUGACGAGAGAGAGGAAUGAAGACACAAAAGGAGGAAAAUGAAUAUUAUAUUGAUAAAAGUGAAUAAGGACCGACUCUAGCUUCCUUAGAAAUAAGGAAUGAGAUGGGUGUCUUAACUUUUGAAUAAACCACUACCACACCAUCAGAGCACAAUUUUCAACCAAAUUCCUUAAAUUUAAUGUUAGAAGCUCACAGACCUUAUAUAUUGGAGUUUCUUUUCGGAGCUAUUUUUUAAUGAUACCUCCUAACUUCUAACUUAGAAGUUUAGAUAGAAAGAGCCUAGAAGACGCUCUAUGGUGAUAACAAUAUUGGACCGAUCACAUUAUAUAAGAACCGGAGGAUGGGAUAUAUUACCAACGAAUUAAACAUCUGCUAAAGAUGUCAGAAAUUUUAUUUGCCAAAUUCACAAGUUAUAAUAUCAAUACUUUCAUAUCUUUGCUGAUAGAAGGAAGCAAAGGAAGACUAAUGUCGAUAAUUGCCAAAUUGCUAAGUAACUUACCUCAAUGAUCUCCAAGUCAAGACUAAGAAUCUUAGCACUACCAAGUCUUGGCAACAUACUUGUAAGCUGUUGAUAACAUUCUUUCAUCUUCUCCUGCGAGAAGCUUUUUGCAUCUAUCCAACCCUUUAGUCUUACAUUUACAUAGUCCAACUUCGAAUCCUCAAAAGUUACUGAGAAGAUACCAACAGAAGUAAAUUUUUUUAGCUUUGGAGCAAAAACCACAAUUGUACUACUAGGAAUCCCCUUGUAAUGGUUGUAGCGGGUCUCGAUCUCCAGGUUCACCAAUUCAGGACAAUGUACAAAACAACUACAUAUGGAAACGUUUUUGUAAUAUAAUUUAAGAUUUUGUAAACUGACAAGUGCAGCAAAUAGGUCCAUAUUCUCAGGAUAUUGUACAUCAUCAAGAGUUAGACUAGUCAAAGCUGGCAAAUCCCAAUCUUUAGUGGGCAAUUUACACAUACGCACAACGAGAGAUGUUAAUUCAGGUAAACGAAAAGCAAAGGACCGCAAAUCCCAACUUUCAAGCAACAGAUUUCUCAAGGCAGGCAAGCAGGUCACAUAUAUUUCCGCUAACUUCUCAAUGACAGACCGACUAAACUUACAACGUACUUUGCGUAUCAAACAAAGAGUCGAUAAAGCAGGUAAAUCCCAACAAUCUGAUUUUGAAAUACAUUCUUUAAGUUUAAUUAUUACUUCCAGUUUCUCAAUAGAUACAGAGUUAAAAUUGGAUAACUUAAAAGGCCUAUGUUCCGGAAGGAAAUGAACAUUUAAGUAUCGAACACGACGAGCAGUAGCAUAUCUAAUAAACUCAGCCAUUAAACCUUGAGGCAGCAUUUCCAUCUUCAGACAUGAAAUCUGGGAUUGAUAGUUUCGAUGAAUCAUUACCUGACGAGCUAAAUUACUUACUUUUGUAGAUGAAUAGCGUUUAUCCCAUUUAAAGUUAAGAAAGGGGAGAGUAGUCCAUACAAGCUUCCAUCGUUUGGAGAGAGCGCUGGUUUGGACACUUAUUUUGGUAUCUACAAACUUGAGAAUUUGAUGAAGCAAUUCAUCAGGCAAUUCGCUGAUUCUGUCUUCUCCAUCUUCACUUGUGAUUCUUGCUUUCUUCCUCUUCUCCAACCGACGGUUCAUUUUACUUCUUUUCUCAAACCCUAGCCCCUAAUUCAAUUUCCCCACCAAUAUGAUACUCUUCACAAAAGUUGCGUUUCUCCCAUGUUUAGAUUUGUUCUUUCUAUUUGUGGAGUUAUUCGGCAUAAAAUCAAAUAUUUAAAACUCUUUUCCUCCUUAAUACCACAAUUUUUUUAACUACUUCAAACGUAUAUUAAAAAUGGACAACUAAACAUAGAUUGGAUAAAAAACUAGGGUUUUCUCUCUGCCUCUCAAAAGUUUUGAGAGUCGACUCCCGUUUUUAGGGUUCUAGCUACCAUUUCUCCAUCUUCUAAAUCUUCAUCCCUUCAUCGAUUAAGCCAUUUUCGCUCUCCCAUCCUCUAUUUUGUAUUUCAGUUUUUCAAUAAACCAAGAUCCGUGAGAUCUUGUUGAGUACCUUGUUAUCAAGGCAGUGCCUAUGUUUUGGGAUGUUAGUAUGUCAUAUUUUGUGUUUUGUGUGUGUUUUUGUAUCGUUGUCGGAGGGUUUUCUAAAAAGGAUUCAUACGAUAUUGUGGGCGAUCUGUAAGACUCGCAUCGAUUCUGGGAUGACGGUGGAUAUCGCAAAAGCUCACCUUUCACAACAAAAAUUUGUUCAUAUUUUGGGAGUCUUUGUUGCUCCAAUAUCAGUCAAUAUAACUGAUAGUUCUGAACGUUGGGCUACAGAUGAUGCUUAUGUGAAGGUCAAUUGUGAUGCUACCAGUUUCAUAGGUGAUGUAGGUUGGAUUGCUCUAUAUGUCAUUGUAUUACUUUUUAGAUCAAAGAAUUUAAAUAUUCUAUGUGUUAAGCGAUCUGAAAACAAAACGGCUAUUUGGUUAGCUCGUUUUUUGUUUCACGAUCAGAUUGUAGUUGAUAGUUCGGGGGUUUGUACCGGCUGGAUUCCGAUGAGUGAUAUCCGUUAAUAAAAUCAUUUGUUUGUCAAAAAAAAACAUAGAUUGGAUUAUUAUUUUUUUGCAACAUAAUUUGAAUAAUAAAAAAAUAUUGUUAAAUUUCAUCAAAAAAUGCUCAAGAAUGAUAUGAAAAUAUGAAAUGGACAACUAUAAAAAGAUUGGAUAUGUUUUUCAAUUUUUCAAAAAAAAUGAAAAUUAUCACUUAAAAUUAUAUUUACGAAUUCAAUUUCAUAUUUUAGAAUUAAAACUUGUUAUUCUAUUUCAAAAAAAAAAACACACUUGUUAUUCUUAUAUCUAGUACUUAUUCAAUAUAAACUUUAGCGUAAAUAUCAAUUUUAUAAGUGAGGUUAACUCCUGAUAAUUACCAGAAACUUAAAACUUCAAACACAAGGACAUUUUAACAUAAAGUCUACAUGCAGGAUGACAAUAGAUACCAGAGACUUGAAUACCUGAGUAGAAUACACAUAAAAGGCAUACAAACAAAUCUUAAACAUGCGACUCAUCAUGAGAAAACUAAGGGUUUGUGAUCGUAAGUCCAAAAGCUUUCUGAAUCUCUUCCAUCUUUUCAGUACGGAGAGUCUCCAGAGCCUUCAAUUUAAUUUUACUAUCAUCAAAAAGUUCAAAGGUACCAAAGACUUGAGCACCUGAAACUAUAAAAAGUUAAAAGGCCUACAAAAAAAACUCUCAAGCAUGUGACUGAUCAGGGGGAAACUCUGGACUUGACAAGAGAUCAUCUCCUACGUAGCCAACAACAAGGUUUGUAGCCAUAGGUCCAAAAGCUUUCUGAAUCGCAUGCAUCUUUUCAGCACGAAGAGUCUCUAGAUCCUUUAAUUUAGAUUUAGUAUCAUCAAUACAAACCUGAAACUCUUGUAACUUACUUUUGGCAUCAACAAUAUGACAGUCGAUCGCAUGAAUCUCCGAAAGUAGGGGCUGUGAAAACCGGACCUGUUCUAUAUAGUUCAGACGACCCAAAAGCCAACUCACAUUGAAUCCGAAUUCCUGCAACUCCGCAAAUACUUCCCUGUACUCAGCUAUCGUCUUAGCAUCAACAUCACUCAGAGAAAUUUUGGUAAAGUCAUUCACAGAGGUGCACAACAUAUUCAGCUUAAUUGUACAAAAUUUCUUGUUUUUAGUGGUGAAGUGCUCAAAGGUUUCUGGGUACUUAUCCAUAAUGCGAUCAAGCAGACAUACAAACUCACAGUAAACCUCAUGGCCCUGCCAUAACCUAAAAUCACUAUUACCCCCAGAAGAACUUACCCGACCACUGCCUGUCCUUUUAACUGGUGCACCUAUUUGUCUAACCCUGUCACCAUCUAAUAAAGAGUUCUGCCCCACAAGCUCUUCCUGCACUCCCAUGUGUGCAGUGUCGACAAACACACUUUUAUGUACAUAUUGAGAAUUAAUCAACACUUUGGUUGGAGAUCCCGGCUCUUGUCGCACCACAUUUUGGGCUUUCACAGUAGAUGCCUCUUUACGAGAAAUUAUAUUCUGGAAAACAAAUCAGAAAGUUUAGUGAAGCAUUCUGACUGAGAGUUAAACAUAUGUACCUGUUUAUCAACAAAAUAAAUUUGUUUCACAUAAUAUGCUAUGCAGAAGAUGAGUAGACCACUUUAGCAAAUAACAUGAGUUAUUAUCUUAGUCAACUUCUUCCACAAAGUGAGGCAAGAAUAUUUAGCUAAACAAUCGAGUUACCACCGUGCCAUUAGUUUUAUAACAGCAUUACAGCAAGACCACCUAGCAAGCUGGCAUCAGCACAUCGCUUUAAUAGUUGAUGUUUAAAAACAUAAUUAUAACAUAAAGGUAUAUUAGCCUCUGAACUCAAAGAUUGUUUUACUGGCUCUAACGCAUCCCAAAUGAUUUUUUGUGCCCACCCUCACUGUUCAAAACUCCUUUUAUCUAGUUUCUACUGGCUCCAUCUUCUUCUUAACUAUUUCCAAAUCAGUUUAAUCUCAAGUUGAUUAUUUGUGGGUGUAGCUUUGACACAUAUACCUACACAAGUGAAUCCCCAAAGCUCUAAUUUAAUAAUGCAUAAAAAGAAAUUAGUAAAGGCUUUCACUUAUCCUAAGAUCUACAGGUUUAUAGGGAAAGUACUUUAUUCAGUUCAGCUAUGACAAGACCAAUUCAAGAAGUUUGGAAAUUUAUGAAUUUUAGACCUUCAAGAUAUUUUAACAAAUGAAAACCUGGACAACAAUGUUUUAAGAAAACAUAUGGAAGUUGCAACCUUUACAUUUUAUAUAGUAUUUUUAAACCUCAAUUACUCAAACAUUCCAGAAUUAAACAUGCUAAAUACUAAGCAAAAAAAUAUUCAACAACCACAAGUCCACAAUAGUGCCCAGACAAUCAUAAUUCAAAAUUUUAAGUAUAACAAACAACCCCUACAAAAUAAGUCCAAAUUUGAAGUAUACCGCUUCAAAAAAUUAAGGCCUUAUGUAAGCACAUGUUUAAACAUUAAGGUCAACUAUCAUAUUCAACCUCUUUUCUUUUUGUACGUGCUCGUACAAAAACAAAAGAAAACAAAUUUGUGUAUACGUAAAAAAACCGAAUAGUAAAUAAAUGACCUACAUCUUAAGAAGUUGAGAUUUUGUCAAAAUAGCUGUUGUUAUUCAGAAUAUAUAUGGUCAUGAACUAGCAGGAAACAAUGGUUAACGCAUAAGUUAAUACAUUUAAAGUGUUUUGCUUAUCUGCUUUCGUAUUAUAUAUUGUUUACUUCAUGAAACCUAAUUGUUCAUAGGUCAUGACCAUUUAUAUCAAAAUCAAAUUGAGGCUAAAACCUUCCCAUAAUAAGACUACAAGCUAAUUUAUUAGCACUUCUUUCUUAGGAGAAUUUGCUAUAAUUAAUAGCACAAAUAAACAAAAUUCAAAUAUUUCUACAGAGACUUAAAAAUCAAUAUAUGUAGAUCAACCAUUUAUGCUCAUGCUCUCCAGUCAGAAGAACAUGAUGUAAAGGAGAUAUAUCUGGUAUGACUACAUAAAUGCUAAAUGCACUGUUUAUGCAUACAGAAAACAAGAUAAUGAGUGCAUCAAGUUACCAAGAAGGAUAAUCAAUAAUUUUAAUACCUGUGGCAAUGCCGUGACCAUGGUGGCUGCUGGGGAGCCACCAAGUAAGUAGCUUCUCAGAGUACUGGAUAAACUUGCCUCAUUACAUCCAAGUGGCAGCUUUACAUACUCCAAGUCACAGAAUGGAGAAGGGAAACUUACAAGAAAGUCAAAAAUCCAGAGAAGUGCCUAAGAAAUAAUAAAAAAACAAAGAGCAAAAUAUAGAACAUCAGUUGAAGGAAUUGCAAUCAAUAUCAACUAAAAUAAAAAGUAAUAAUAUAGUAGCCUCUGUGUUUCCUUCCCAGAGUAUCAUAUUCUGCACAAACCAAUAUCACAUAGAAGCUAACGAGAAGGGGGGAUAAUCACUCUCAGUAAGGACAAGUCUAAAAAUUGCAACUGUCUACAAAAUAAAAUUGAAAAGGAUAAUAUAUAAACUUGCUUUUUUUUGCUAAAUAUUAUGUGCACUUGUUUCCUUCAACAAACCACAUAUGACAUAUGCAUGUCAAGUUUUAUUUGUUGACUUGGGAUGGAAUAAUGAAGCUCAUCGGUACAACCCGCAAGAGAUGGGAAAUGCUUGGUACAUAAAAUAUUACUCCCUCCGUCCCCUUGAAUAAUAUACAUAUGAAAUGUACACGGAGACUAAGAAAAGUGUAUAAAGUAGUAUGAAAUAAUGGGAAAGAGAAAGAAAAGUGGGUAUAAUGGUGGGACCCAUUAAUUUUUAAUAUAUAAAAUAGAGAUAGUGGAGUAAAAAGUAGUGUGAAAAGGAAAGAAAAGUGAGAAAGUGGUGGGAAUCACUCAGAGAAAUUUUGGUAAAGUCAUUCACAGAGGUGCACAACAUAUUCAGCUUAAUUGUACAAAAUUUCUUGUUUUUAGUGGUGAAGUGCUCAAAGGUUUCUGGGUACUUAUCCAUAAUGCGAUCAAGCAGACAUACAAACUCACAGUAAACCUCAUGGCCCUGCCAUAACCUAAAAUCACUAUUACCCCCAGAAGAACUUACCCGACCACUGCCUGUCCUUUUAACUGGUGCACCUAUUUGUCU